RNAcentral lists this ribosomal RNA (508 nucleotides) under uncultured bacterium. RNAcentral describes it as "partial 16S ribosomal RNA". It matches the Rfam family "Bacterial small subunit ribosomal RNA", at positions 28 to 507 of the family's 1533-position model. The record is from RNAcentral.
GACGAACGCUGGCGGCGUGCCUAAUACAUGCAAGUCGAACGCUUCUUUCCUCCCGAGUGCUUGCACUCAAUUGGAAAGAGGAGUGGCGGACGGGUGAGUAACACGUGGGUAACCUACCCAUCAGAGGGGGAUAACACUUGGAAACAGGUGCUAAUACCGCAUAACAGUUUAUGCCGCAUGGCAUAAGAGUGAAAGGCGCUUUCGGGUGUCGCUGAUGGAUGGACCCGCGGUGCAUUAGCUAGUUGGUGAGGUAACGGCUCACCAAGGCCACGAUGCAUAGCCGACCUGAGAGGGUGAUCGGCCACACUGGGACUGAGACACGGCCCAGACUCCUACGGGAGGCAGCAGUAGGGAAUCUUCGGCAAUGGACGAAAGUCUGACCGAGCAACGCCGCGUGAGUGAAGAAGGUUUUCGGAUCGUAAAACUCUGUUGUUAGAGAAGAACAAGGACGUUAGUAACUGAACAUCCCCUGACGGUAUCUAACCAGAAAGCCACGGCUAACUACGUG